RNAcentral lists this ribosomal RNA (998 nucleotides) under Vibrio alginolyticus. RNAcentral describes it as "bacterial SSU rRNA". It matches the Rfam family "Bacterial small subunit ribosomal RNA", at positions 472 to 1469 of the family's 1533-position model. Lineage: Bacteria; Pseudomonadati; Pseudomonadota; Gammaproteobacteria; Vibrionales; Vibrionaceae. The record is from RNAcentral.
ACGUUACCGACAGAAGAAGCACCGGCUAACUCCGUGCCAGCAGCCGCGGUAAUACGGAGGGUGCGAGCGUUAAUCGGAAUUACUGGGCGUAAAGCGCAUGCAGGUGGUUUGUUAAGUCAGAUGUGAAAGCCCGGGGCUCAACCUCGGAAUAGCAUCUGAAACUGGCAGACUAGAGUACUGUAGAGGGGGGUAGAAUUUCAGGUGUAGCGGUGAAAUGCGUAGAGAUCUGAAGGAAUACCGGUGGCGAAGGCGGCCCCCUGGACAGAUACUGACACUCAGAUGCGAAAGCGUGGGGAGCAAACAGGAUUAGAUACCCUGGUAGUCCACGCCGUAAACGAUGUCUACUUGGAGGUUGUGUCCUUGAGCCGUGGCUUUCGGAGCUAACGCGUUAAGUAGACCGCCUGGGGAGUACGGUCGCAAGAUUAAAACUCAAAUGAAUUGACGGGGGCCCGCACAAGCGGUGGAGCAUGUGGUUUAAUUCGAUGCAACGCGAAGAACCUUACCUACUCUUGACAUCCAGAGAACUUUCCAGAGAUGGAUUGGUGCCUUCGGGAACUCUGAGACAGGUGCUGCAUGGCUGUCGUCAGCUCGUGUUGUGAAAUGUUGGGUUAAGUCCCGCAACGAGCGCAACCCUUAUCCUUGUUUGCCAGCGAGUAAUGUCGGGAACUCCAGGGAGACUGCCGGUGAUAAACCGGAGGAAGGUGGGGACGACGUCAAGUCAUCAUGGCCCUUACGAGUAGGGCUACACACGUGCUACAAUGGCGCAUACAGAGGGCGGCCAACUUGCGAAAGUGAGCGAAUCCCAAAAAGUGCGUCGUAGUCCGGAUUGGAGUCUGCAACUCGACUCCAUGAAGUCGGAAUCGCUAGUAAUCGUGGAUCAGAAUGCCACGGUGAAUACGUUCCCGGGCCUUGUACACACCGCCCGUCACACCAUGGGAGUGGGCUGCAAAAGAAAGUAGGUAGUUAACCUUCGGAGGACGCUAACCACGUUUGGGAUC